This 1049-nucleotide long non-coding RNA is filed under the name Salmo salar (Atlantic salmon). RNAcentral describes it as "lncRNA (ENSSSAG00000096773.1)". Lineage: Eukaryota; Metazoa; Chordata; Actinopteri; Salmoniformes; Salmonidae. The record is from RNAcentral.
GUGUGUGUGUGUCUGGUGUGUGUGUGUGUGUGUGUGUUCUUCUGUUGGAGGUGUUCUAGAAACAGCAGCUCGGACUGUCAGAGCGGUCUGAUUGGUGAGGGGGGGGGGGGGGAAAACUUAGCUGUUAUUGGCAGAGAGAUUUCAAACCUCUCUUAUUGGUCUAUUAACCUAAUUAUGAUGUCACAAGGCAGGCCAAAAAAACUCCGCCCCAACCAAAAAACAGGAUUGAAAUUUCAGAGGGGUCUUUUCAAAUAACUCUUCCCACUAAAAUGACAUUAUCAAUUUCACAGUAUUAUUCCAACCUCAUAGCGUGGAAAUAUAUCAAUCACAGGAACGUUUUUUCACUGCCCUGGGCCUUUAAAAGAAGUUUAAUAAAAAAGUGACGAAUGUAAUAUUGUGUGGUAAAAAAAAAAAUGUUCUGUUGAAUUCUGUGUAAUUAUGAAUUUUGAUUUAAAAGAGAUGUUUUGAUUUGUAAAAUUCAUUUGAUCUGAAUUGAGAUGGAGAAAUAAAAAAAUAAAACGUUGAUUACCCCUAAAAAAAAUACUGAAAGGUUGAAUAAAAUGACAGAUAAAACUCGGUUCUGUUAUACUGCAGGUCUUUAUGUUCAGAUAAAAGGGGAGGUUUCCUUUAUGUUCAGAUAAAAGGGGAGGUUUCCUUUAUGUUCAGAUAAAAGGGGAGGUUUCCUUUAUGUUCAGAUAAAAGGGGAGGUUUCCUUUAUGUUCAGAUAAAAGGGGAGGUUUCCUUUAUGUUCAGAUAAAAGGGGAGGUUUCCUUUAUGUUCAGAUAAAAGGGGAGGUUUUCCUUUAUGUUCAGAUAAAAGGGGAGGUUUCAGUAUGCAGAUCAGGGACGAUAUACAGGACCAGUCAAAAUGUUGGACAACACCAACUCAAUCCAGGGUUUUUAUUUUAAUUGUAUUUUUCUACAUUGUAGAAUAAUAGUGACGACAUCAAAACUAUGAAAACAACCCCUAUUAAUAUAGAAUGUUCUCUGGGUUUAAUAGACAUAUUAAAAGAUUAGUCAUAUAACUUUUUUUAAAAUUAUUAUAAUUAU